RNAcentral lists this long non-coding RNA (1527 nucleotides) under Ornithorhynchus anatinus (platypus). Its description in RNAcentral is "lncRNA (ENSOANG00000035779.2)". Lineage: Eukaryota; Metazoa; Chordata; Mammalia; Monotremata; Ornithorhynchidae. The record is from RNAcentral.
AUGAACGUAUUGCCCUUUGGAUGCUUUGCUAUUGGCCUGGAAAACAAAAGGAAGAAAAAUCAGUUAGCUUCCACAACAGAACAUGUGAAAAAGAGGAAGAGGCAAGAGAGGCUGACUCAAAGCUGGUGGAACCUGAACUCUGAGUUAAAACUAGAUCAGAACCCUGGUUCCAGCCCCUCUUCACCCCCUUCUCCCCAACCACAAGCGCUCUGAAGACCAGUGGGGGGGUCUGACAACGGAUCCUCACUUCUGGGAAGCCAGGAUAGUGGAUCCCAGUGGGCAUCACCGAGGAGGAGCGGACUCUGAUGGUGGCGACCACUGACUGGCAAACGAGAACAGAUUGACAUUCCAGCAACCAAUGGAAGGCCAUGGAGGAUUCACGCGGGGGUGAGUACCUCGGGAGAGAAUGUGUCAAUGGGUGAAACAAAGCCCAGAUUUGCAGGAAACGUGUGCUCAGCGCCUGGACCUGCAGACAUGUGGUGCAACAACCCGGCAUUGACCAUGAAUUUUUUCGCAGAAUCGGGGGAGCGGUGAGGAUAAAUAGGCAGAUGUAGGGGUCAGCCCCCUGGCCCCCCAUUUCUCCAGAAACUACUGGGAAAUGUGGCAAUGGCAGCCAGGUCAGGGACAGGUGGGCGGUCCGGUGACCGGUAGCUUAGGGCGAACCGUGCUCCAUCCGAUACUGGAGGCCUCUUUUCCGCCUGAAAAUCCCGCUGCUGCCAUUGCUCACUCAGGAACAAGGCACUUUCUCCAUGGAAUUGGGCCUCCUGGACUAAAGUAUAUGAGCAGGAUGUGAGAAGCAAUGUGGCCUAGUGGAAAGAGCACAGGCCUGGAGUCAGAGGACCUGUGUUCUAACCUGCUGUGUGACCUUGGGCAAGUCGCUUAACUUCUCUGUGCCUCAUUUCCCUCACCUGCAAAAUGGAGAUUUAAUACCUGUUCUCCCUCCUAUUUAGAUUGUGAACCCCAUGUGGAAUCUGAUUAGACUGCUUCUACCCCAGUGCUUAGUACAGUAUUUGGCACAUAGUGAGCACGUAACAAACUCCACAGUUAUUAUUAUUAUGAAUAAUUAUUAUUAUAACAAUAAUCAUAAUCAUGCUCAUGUAUCACCUAUCCUAAAAAAAAGUCUUCCUUGACCCCAUGGCUCCCUCCAGAUACCACCCUAUUUCCCUUCUACCAUUUGCUGAAGGUUUAUUAAAAUCCACAUCAAAGAAAUUUAAAAAAAUGUAAUUCCUAGAUAAAUGCUGGGAAGCAGCCUGAGAAGCAGUCUGGCAUAGUGAAAAGGCCACGGAAAAGUGGUUUGAAAUGGGGCUUUUUUUUUAUUGGUGACCCGAUCAAGGAACACGAUAUGCUUCAUGCACUCAAUAUUAAAAACUUGUUAUUAUAGCACUAUCCUGGUCAAGGUCAAUAGAAUCAAUCAAGGAGUUGCAGAAACCUAGCUUUUUUGGACGGAUACAUUACCUUAGGUGUAUAAUGGGAAGGAAAGGUGAGUAACCUUUCCUAUCUACCAGCAGCCACUUUCUAGAAGCAGGG